RNAcentral lists this ribosomal RNA (469 nucleotides) under uncultured bacterium. Its description in RNAcentral is "bacterial SSU rRNA". It matches the Rfam family "Bacterial small subunit ribosomal RNA", at positions 917 to 1382 of the family's 1533-position model. The record is from RNAcentral.
GGGCCCGCACAAGCGGUGGAGCAUGUGGUUUAAUUCGACGCAACGCGAAGAACCUUACCGGGGUUGGAACGUCCGUGGUUACGGCCUGAGAGGGUCGGUUCCUCGUAAGGGGACUGCGGGCGAGGUGCUGCAUGGCUGUCGUCAGCUCGUGUCGUGAGAUGUUGGGUUAAGUCCCGCAACGAGCGCAACCCUUGUUGGUAGUUGCCAUCAGGUGAAGCUGGGCACUCUACCGAGACCGCCGGCGAUAAGCCGGAGGAAGGUGGGGAUGACGUCAAGUCAUCAUGGCCUUUAUGCCCCGGGCUACACACGUGCUACAAUGGGCGGUACAGAGGGGGGCGAACCCGCGAGGGGGAGCGAAUCCCAGAAAACCGCUCUCAGUUCGGAUUGCAGUCUGCAACUCGACUGCAUGAAGCUGGAAUCGCUAGUAAUCGCGGAUCAGCACGCCGCGGUGAAUACGUUCCCGGGCCUU